RNAcentral lists this transfer RNA (68 nucleotides) under Bulbitermes laticephalus. RNAcentral's name for it is "tRNA-Met". Lineage: Eukaryota; Metazoa; Arthropoda; Insecta; Blattodea; Termitidae. The record is from RNAcentral.
AGAAAAGUAAGCUAAACUAAGCUAAUGGGUUCAUACCCCGUAAAUAGAGCACAAAUCUCUCUUCUCUG